This 445-nucleotide ribosomal RNA is filed under the name uncultured bacterium. RNAcentral describes it as "partial 16S ribosomal RNA". It matches the Rfam family "Bacterial small subunit ribosomal RNA", at positions 354 to 796 of the family's 1533-position model. The record is from RNAcentral.
GUGAGGAAUAUUGGUCAAUGGGCGAGAGCCUGAACCAGCCAAGUCGCGUGAAGGAAGAAGGAUCUAUGGUUCGUAAACUUCUUUUUUAGGGGAAUAAAGUGCGGUACGUGUACCGUUUUGUAUGUACCCUACGAAUAAGGAUCGGCUAACUCCGUGCCAGCAGCCGCGGUAAUACGGAGGAUCCGAGCGUUAUCCGGAUUUAUUGGGUUUAAAGGGUGCGUAGGCGGAAGAAUAAGUCAGUGGUGAAAGUUUGCAGCUCAACUGUAAAAUUGCCGUUGAAACUGUUUUUCUUGAGUGUAAAUGAGGUAGGCGGAAUGUGUUGUGUAGCGGUGAAAUGCUUAGAUAUGACACAGAACACCGAUUGCGAAGGCAGCUUACUAAGAUACAACUGACGCUGAGGCACGAAAGCGUGGGGAUCGAACAGGAUUAGAUACCCUUGUAGUCC